Molecule: ribosomal RNA, 506 nt
Filed under: actinobacterium MSB3004
Lineage: Bacteria; Bacillati; Actinomycetota; Actinomycetes
Description: bacterial SSU rRNA
Rfam family: Bacterial small subunit ribosomal RNA
Source: RNAcentral
AGAGUUUGAUCAUGGCUCAGGACGAACGCUGGCGGCGUGCUUAACACAUGCAAGUCGAACGAUGAUGCCCAGCUUGCUGGGUGGAUUAGUGGCGAACGGGUGAGUAACACGUGAGUAACCUGCCCCUGACUCUGGGAUAAGCGUUGGAAACGACGUCUAAUACUGGAUAUGAUCACUGGCCGCAUGGUCUGGUGGUGGAAAGAUUUUUUGGUUGGGGAUGGACUCGCGGCCUAUCAGCUUGUUGGUGAGGUAAUGGCUCACCAAGGCGACGACGGGUAGCCGGCCUGAGAGGGUGACCGGCCACACUGGGACUGAGACACGGCCCAGACUCCUACGGGAGGCAGCAGUGGGGAAUAUUGCACAAUGGGCGAAAGCCUGAUGCAGCAACGCCGCGUGAGGGAUGACGGCCUUCGGGUUGUAAACCUCUUUUAGUAGGGAAGAAGCGAAAGUGACGGUACCUGCAGAAAAAGCACCGGCUAACUACGUGCCAGCAGCCGCGGUAAUAC